This 282-nucleotide long non-coding RNA is filed under the name Mytilus galloprovincialis (Mediterranean mussel). The record is from RNAcentral. Lineage: Eukaryota; Metazoa; Mollusca; Bivalvia; Mytilida; Mytilidae.
CAUAUUUAAUUCCAAAUCAAAUGUUUUUAUUUCAUUGAUAAAUGAUUUUGUCCCUUUUGAUUUUCCCAUUGUAAUACAUUCCGAUUAUCUCGCAUGUGAAAAUAGUUCCCAAUUUUUACUGCAAUCUCACUUCUGUAUUCCAGUUGAAGAUUUAAUUCAAGGUACUUUAACUAAUUGGUUAUACUGUGAAGGGAAAUUCAUAAUGUAUUUUUGCAUUUAAACAUAAGAGAGAGUUGAUAAAGUUACACGAUAAUUAUUUUAGUACAGAAAAAUAUACUUAUU